GAGAGAGAGGAAUAAAUAGAAACGGGAAAGUCCCGUGUAAUUAUACGAUUAUCAUGAUUAUUUUUUAAUCGUAAUCUUAUUUAAUAACGCCUAACGAAAUCUAGUCUUAUUUAUACUCUUUGUUAAAUCAAAAGCCGUGUUUUUUCUUUUUUAUUAUUAUUAUUAUUAUUAUUAUUAUUAUUAUACGCACAGCGAUUUAUUUAUGUAUGUACAUAAUUUUACACAAUUUGUGUCGGCGCGUGGCGUACAUCGGAAUGCAAGGAAUGGAGAGAAAUGUGUGGACUGUUGGUGGAAAUAAAAUUGAAACUGCGACUAUUGUGGCUUUGGCUAGGUGAUAUUCGAUGAACUUAAGAAACGUUAGAAUUGGGAAACGAUCCGUACCUGAGGCUUGUGGCGCUCUCCUUCGAUUUUUCGCUUCCGAAUCGUCCUUUAUUCGAGAAUUCCGUAAGUGGUUCACGUUUUAGAGACGCGCACGCGCCGACGAGUCUCCAUUGUUGGAGAAAUUGCGCUCAAAAUGGCGACGAUUAACGGUAGAACGGAGGAAAUGUGCAACAGGAACCGUCCUAUAAUCUGUAAUCGUUAUUAUCCUGUGCAGCGACACGUUAAACCAUUUUGAUAUAUCGAAUCUAUGAUUACGAUUACGAUUUUUGCAACAAUUCAUCCGACUAAUAAAAUUACUCUUAAAGAAUAAGAUUCACACGCAAUUCAAGCCAGGAUCUGAAUAAAAAAAUAAUGAAAAAUCGAAACGUUUCGUUUCACACUGAUCAAGCAUAUAAUUCUUUGGAACAACUUUUCAUUUGUCUUCCGACAUGACAACGAGAAGGAAAUUAACGUUGUACGUUAUGUACUUGUGCAAUGACUGUCGAAAAAUCUUAUUUCUCGCAAACGUCACGUUGACGUAUGAAAAACUCGCGCAACAACGUACCAAUUACGGAUCCAUUUAUAUCGCAAAACGAGACUUUAACACGUUUUACAAUGAUUAUAAUACGCGUGCAUGACAAUUGUCAAAAGUAAUCCCCGAAAGAAAUUUAAUUAAACCUUUCCCGAUAUGUUUCAUUGAUGCACUGGCCAAGGAUCCAUGCACAUCACACACGAUACACCAUCACGCGGCUUGGAAGGCCAGAGAGGGUGCUGUUUCGAAGUUGAGAAAUUAUGGAUGAAGGUUUCGAGAGAAAUUUGAUAUAAAAAAAAAAAAGAUGGAGGAGAUGAGAGAAAUCAAUGGUAAAUG
Molecule: long non-coding RNA, 1228 nt
Organism: Apis florea (little honeybee)
Lineage: Eukaryota; Metazoa; Arthropoda; Insecta; Hymenoptera; Apidae
Source: RefSeq, a predicted model, not a curated record